RNAcentral lists this ribosomal RNA (443 nucleotides) under uncultured bacterium. Its description in RNAcentral is "partial 16S ribosomal RNA". It matches the Rfam family "Bacterial small subunit ribosomal RNA", at positions 338 to 795 of the family's 1533-position model. The record is from RNAcentral.
CCUACGGGAGGCAGCAGUGGGGGAUAUUGGACAAUGGGGGAAACCCUGAUCCGGCGACGCCGCGUGAGUGAAGAAGUAUUUCGGUAUGUAAAGCUCUAUCAGCAGGGAAGAAAGAAAUGACGGUACCUGAGUAGGAAGCCCCGGCUAACUACGUGCCAGCAGCCGCGGUAAUACGUAGGGGGCAAGCGUUAUCCGGAAUUACUGGGGGUAAGGGGAGCGUAGACGGUAAUGCAAGUCUGGAGUGAAAGGCGGGGGCCCAACCCCCGGACUGCUCUGGAAACUGUGUAACUGGAGUGCAGGAGAGGCAGGCGGAAUUCCUAGUGUAGCGGUGAAAUGCGUAGAUAUUAGGAGGAACACCAGUGGCGAAGGCGGCCUGCUGGACUGUAACUGACGUUGAGGCUCGAAAGCGUGGGGAGCAAACAGGAUUAGAUACCCGGGUAGUC